Podarcis muralis (Common wall lizard) is the source of this 132-nucleotide small nucleolar RNA. Ensembl annotates it as small nucleolar RNA SNORA22. The record is from Ensembl. Lineage: Eukaryota; Metazoa; Chordata; Lepidosauria; Squamata; Lacertidae.
UUGCACGGUGAACACCCAAGUGAGCUCUGUAGUUCCCUUGGCAUAACUCUGUGCUAGAGUAACCUGUGCUUUACCCUCUGCAUUGCAAGGAACAUACUUCCUUUCAAAUGUAUUCAAAAGGACAGGACAGUU